UGGGGAAUCUUGGACAAUGGGGGCAACCCUGAUCCAGCCAUGCCGCGUGAGUGAUGAAGGCCUUAGGGUCGUAAAGCUCUUUCGCCUGUGAAGAUAAUGACGGUAGCAGGUAAAGAAACCCCGGCUAACUCCGUGCCAGCAGCCGCGGUAAUACGGAGGGGGCUAGCGUUGUUCGGAAUUACUGGGCGUAAAGCGCACGUAGGCGGACCAGAAAGUUGGGGGUGAAAUCCCGGGGGCUCAACCCCGGAACUGCCUCCAAAACUAUUGGUCUAGAGUUCGAGAGAGGUGAGUGGAAUUCCAAGUGUAGAGGUGAAAUUCGUAGAUAUUUGGAGGAACACCAGUGGCGAAGGCGGCUCACUGGCUCGAUACUGACGCUGAGGUGCGAAAGUGUGGGGAGCAAACAGGAUUAG
Molecule: ribosomal RNA, 410 nt
Filed under: uncultured bacterium
Lineage: Bacteria
Description: bacterial SSU rRNA
Rfam family: Bacterial small subunit ribosomal RNA
Source: RNAcentral